AAUGAACGCUGGCGGCGUGCCUAACACAUGCAAGUCGAAUGUGCCGCAAGGUGCAUGGCAGACGGGUGAGUAACGCGUGGGCAAUCUACCUUUUCGUGGGGAAUAACGAUCCGAAAGGAUUGGUAAUACCGCAUGAGACCAAUGGCUGGGAUGCUGUUGGUGAAACCUGGGGACCGCAAGGCCUGGGGCGAAAAGAGGAGCCUGCGUCUGAUUAGCUAGUUGGCGGGUAACGGCCCACCAAGGCUUCGAUCAGUAGCCGGCCUGAGAGGGUGAUCGGCCACACUGGAACUGAGACACGGUCCAGACUCCUACGGGAGGCAGCAGUGGGGAAUUUUGCGCAAUGGACGAAAGUCUGACGCAGCAACGCCGCGUGGGUGAUGAAGGUCUUCGGAUUGUAAAACCCUGUCGUCGAGGACGAAGGUCGGAGUGUUAAUAGCGCUUUGGCUUGACGGUACUCGGAGAGGAAGCCCCGGGCUAACUCUGUGCCAGCAGCCGC
This 496-nucleotide ribosomal RNA is filed under the name uncultured bacterium. RNAcentral's name for it is "bacterial SSU rRNA". It matches the Rfam family "Bacterial small subunit ribosomal RNA", at positions 29 to 518 of the family's 1533-position model. The record is from RNAcentral.